GACGAACGCUGGCGGCGUGCUUAACACAUGCAAGUCGAACGGAAAGGCCCUGCUUUUGUGGGGUGCUCGAGUGGCGAACGGGUGAGUAACACGUGAGUAAACUGCCCUUGACUUUGGGAUAACUUCAGGAAACUGGGGCUAAUACCGGAUAGGAGCUCCUGCUGCAUGGUGGGGGUUGGAAAGUUUCGGCGGUUGGGGAUGGACUCGCGGCUUACCAGCUUGUUGGUGGGGUAGUGGCUUACCAAGGCUUUGACGGGUAGCCGGCCUGAGAGGGUGACCGGCCACAUUGGGACUGAGAUACGGCCCAGACUCCUACGGGAGGCAGCAGUGGGGAAUAUUGCACAAUGGGCGGAAGCCUGAUGCAGCAACGCCGCGUGCGGGAUGACGGCCUUCGGGUUGUAAACCGCUUUCGCCUGUGACGAAGCGUGAGUGACGGUAAUGGGUAAAGAAGCACCGGCUAACUACGUG
RNAcentral lists this ribosomal RNA (468 nucleotides) under uncultured bacterium. RNAcentral's name for it is "partial 16S ribosomal RNA". It matches the Rfam family "Bacterial small subunit ribosomal RNA", at positions 28 to 507 of the family's 1533-position model. The record is from RNAcentral.